GUGCUUGCUUCAGCAGCACAUGUACUAAAAUUGAAACAAUACAGGAAAGAUUGUGGCCCCUGUGCAAGGAUGACACACAAAUUUGUGAAUCAUUCCAUUAAAGG
RNAcentral lists this small nuclear RNA (104 nucleotides) under Carlito syrichta (Philippine tarsier). The record is from RNAcentral. Lineage: Eukaryota; Metazoa; Chordata; Mammalia; Primates; Tarsiidae.